UCAGUACGGGAGGCAGCAGUAGGGAAUCUUGCACAAUGGGCGAAAGCCUGAUGCAGCAACGCCGCGUGAAGGAUGAAGGCCUUCGGGUUGUAAACUGCUUUUAUAAGCGAGAAAUAUGAUGGUAACUUAUGAAUAAGGAUCGGCUAACUACGUGCCAGCAGCCGCGGUAAUCUGA
This 175-nucleotide ribosomal RNA is filed under the name uncultured bacterium. Its description in RNAcentral is "partial 16S ribosomal RNA". It matches the Rfam family "Bacterial small subunit ribosomal RNA", at positions 337 to 528 of the family's 1533-position model. The record is from RNAcentral.